RNAcentral lists this ribosomal RNA (484 nucleotides) under uncultured bacterium. Its description in RNAcentral is "partial 16S ribosomal RNA". It matches the Rfam family "Bacterial small subunit ribosomal RNA", at positions 30 to 507 of the family's 1533-position model. The record is from RNAcentral.
AUUGAACGCUGGCGGCAGGCCUAACACAUGCAAGUCGAGCGGAUGAAGGGAGCUUGCUCCUGGAUUCAGCGGCGGACGGGUGAGUAAUGCCUAGGAAUCUGCCUGGUAGUGGGGGAUAACGUCCGGAAACGGGCGCUAAUACCGCAUACGUCCUGAGGGAGAAAGUGGGGGAUCUUCGGACCUCACGCUAUCAGAUGAGCCUAGGUCGGAUUAGCUAGUUGGUGGGGUAAAGGCCUACCAAGGCGACGAUCCGUAACUGGUCUGAGAGGAUGAUCAGUCACACUGGAACUGAGACACGGUCCAGACUCCUACGGGGGGCAGCAGUGGGGAAUAUUGGACAAUGGGCGAAAGCCUGAUCCAGCCAUGCCGCGUGUGUGAAGAAGGUCUUCGGAUUGUAAAGCACUUUAAGUUGGGAGGAAGGGCAGUAAGUUAAUACCUUGCUGUUUUGGCGUUACCAGCAGAAUAAGCACCGGCUAACUUCGUG